AAACUUAAAGGAAUUGACGGGGAGCACCACAACGGGUGGAGCUUGCGGUUUAAUUGGAUUCAACGCCGGAAAUCUUACCGGGACCGACAGCAAUAUGAAGGCCAGGCUGAAGACUUUGCCGGAUUAGCUGAGAGGUGGUGCAUGGCCGUCGUCAGUUCGUACUGUGAAGCAUCCUGUUAAGUCAGGCAACGAGCGAGACCCACGCCCACAGUUGCCAGCGUACUCUCUGGAGUGACGGGUACACUGUGGGGACCGCCGCUGCUAAAGCGGAGGAAGGAAUGGGCAACGGUAGGUCAGUAUGCCCCGAAUAUCCCGGGCUACACGCGAGCUACAAUGGUUGGUACAAUGGGUAUCUACCCCGAAAGGGGACGGGAAUCUCCUAAAACCAAUCUUAGUUCGGAUUGAGGGCUGCAACUCGCCCUCAUGAAGCUGGAAUCUGUAGUAAUCGCGUCUCAAAAUGGCGCGGUGAAUAUGUCCCUGCUCCUU
Molecule: ribosomal RNA, 486 nt
Filed under: uncultured Methanosaeta sp.
Lineage: Archaea; Methanobacteriati; Methanobacteriota; Methanomicrobia; Methanotrichales; Methanotrichaceae
Description: bacterial SSU rRNA
Rfam family: Archaeal small subunit ribosomal RNA
Source: RNAcentral